This 305-nucleotide ribosomal RNA is filed under the name uncultured bacterium. RNAcentral's name for it is "bacterial SSU rRNA". It matches the Rfam family "Bacterial small subunit ribosomal RNA", at positions 336 to 639 of the family's 1533-position model. The record is from RNAcentral.
UUCCUACGGGAGGCAGCAGUGAGGAAUAUUGGUCAAUGGGCGAGAGCCUGAACCAGCCAAGUCGCGUGAGGGAAGACGGUCCUAUGGAUUGUAAACCUCUUUUGCCGGGGAGCAAAAAGCGGUACGUGUACCGCAUCGAGAGUACCCGGAGAAAAAGCAUCGGCUAACUCCGUGCCAGCAGCCGCGGUAAUACGGAGGAUGCGAGCGUUAUCCGGAUUUAUUGGGUUUAAAGGGUGCGUAGGCGGAUUUUUAAGUCAGCGGUAAAAUGUCCGGGCUCAACCCGGGCCGGCCGUUGAAACUGGGGG